Molecule: ribosomal RNA, 461 nt
Filed under: uncultured bacterium
Lineage: Bacteria
Description: bacterial SSU rRNA
Rfam family: Bacterial small subunit ribosomal RNA
Source: RNAcentral
AAUCAACGCUGGCGGCGUGCCUCAGACAUGCAAGUCGAACGCGAAAGUCCCCUUCGGGGGGCAAGUAGAGUGGCGCACGGGUGAGUAACACGUAGGUAAUCUACCUUUGGAUGGGGAAUAACAACCGGAAACGGUUGCUAAUACCGCAUAAUGCAGCGGCACCUAAUGGUGACAGUUGUUAAAGCGGGGGAUCGAAAGACCUCGCGUCUGAAGAGGAGCCUGCGGCGGAUUAGCUAGUGGUAAGGUAACGGCUUACCAAGGCAACGAUCCGUAGCCGGCCUGAGAGGGGCGGUCGGCCACACUGACACUGACAUACGGGUCAGACUCCUACGGGAGGCAGCAGUCGGGAAUUUUGGGCAAUGGGCGAAAGCCUGACCCAGCAACGCCGCGUGAAGGAUGAAAUCCCUCGGGAUGUAAACUUCGCAAGAACGGGAAGAAUAAGUAGGGGACAAUACCCCCUA